This 444-nucleotide ribosomal RNA is filed under the name uncultured bacterium. RNAcentral describes it as "bacterial SSU rRNA". It matches the Rfam family "Bacterial small subunit ribosomal RNA", at positions 93 to 533 of the family's 1533-position model. The record is from RNAcentral.
AUUUGGCGGACGGGUGAGUAAUGCCUAGGAAUCUGCCUGGUAGUGGGGGAUAACGUUCGGAAACGGACGCUAAUACCGCAUACGUCCUACGGGAGAAAGCAGGGGACCUUCGGGCCUUGCGCUAUCAGAUGAGCCUAGGUCGGAUUAGCUAGUUGGUGAGGUAAUGGCUCACCAAGGCGACGAUCCGUAACUGGUCUGGGAGGAUGAUCAGUCACACUGGAACUGAGACACGGUCCAGACUCCUACGGGAGGCAGCAGUGGGGAAUUUUGGACAAUGGGGGAAACCCUGAUCCAGCCAUCCCGCGUGUGCGAUGGAGGCCUUCGGGUUGUAAAGCACUUUUGGCAGGAAAGAAACGUCAUGGGCUAAUACCCCGUGAAACUGACGGUACCUGCAGAAGAAGCACCGGCUAACUACGUGCCAGCAGCCGCGGUAAUACGGAGGGU